CACGUAGGGACCAAGCGUUGUCCGGAUUCAUUGGGCGUAAAGAGCUUGUAGGCGGUUUGUCGCGUCUGCUGUGAAAUUUCGGGGCUCAACCCCGAACUUGCAGUGGGUACGGGCAGACUAGAGUGUGGUAGGGGAGACUGGAAUUCCUGGUGUAGCGGUGAAAUGCGCAGAUAUCAGGAGGAACACCGAUGGCGAAGGCAGGUCUCUGGGCCACUACUGACGCUGAGAAGCGAAAGCAUGGGGAGCGAACAGG
This 253-nucleotide ribosomal RNA is filed under the name uncultured bacterium. Its description in RNAcentral is "partial 16S ribosomal RNA". It matches the Rfam family "Bacterial small subunit ribosomal RNA", at positions 524 to 776 of the family's 1533-position model. The record is from RNAcentral.